Non-coding RNA from Chiloscyllium plagiosum (whitespotted bambooshark), 612 nucleotides. NCBI's taxonomy places the organism in Eukaryota, Metazoa, Chordata, Chondrichthyes, Orectolobiformes, Hemiscylliidae. The record is from RefSeq and is a predicted model, not a curated record.
AGAAAGAUAUUCUGUUCAGAAUUUUAAAAAAAAUAUUUUUUUCUCAGUCUUGUAAACUGUAAUUUGUGCUCCAGUAGAGGAAAAAAAACCUGGCAGAGGAGUUAGGAUGUCCAUUACCAUUUGAAAAGAAGCAAUCAUGAGGCCACUGCUGAGUCUAUUGUCCACCGAAAAUGCUGAUUUGCAGCCAGUGAGUAAAAGAGAGGAACCAUCUUAAAUUGAACCUUGUGCAAAGGGAGAAGGUUACAUCCAGAGUGAAGCAUUUGAAGAAAACAGAGGUGGGAGAAAAGAAACAGAUUUCUUCUGUAUAAAAAUAAAGUAUCUGAGGGAAACAGGCUAUAGUAAAUCUACAGCAAAAAAAAUCAGGCACAGCAGGAGGUAUCCGUCUCCCAGGUUUGUGUUUAAAAUCCACUCACAGAAGCUCAUUCUAUCUGUGUAAGUCUGGCAAACAUGCAUGCUUCAGUAGAGUCAAAAGACUUGCAAGAAUAACAGAAGCAUUUCUUCCUUGUUCGUGGAUCUGAGACAACCAUUUGAAAGGCCAGCAAAUUGUGCAGCGGUAGUCAGUCAGUCGUUGCAGACAGUAAUUGGUUCCCUGACUUUUUAAACCGUUAUUCU